UGAUGAUGGUGAGGGCAAUUUUUGAGCAUACCCUUAAAUAUUUCCCAAUCUUAGUAAAGAUUUUCUCCUUCUUUCUGCCUGAAAUUCAUAAUCUCGCUUCUUAACCG
Molecule: non-coding RNA, 107 nt
Organism: Capsicum annuum
Lineage: Eukaryota; Viridiplantae; Streptophyta; Magnoliopsida; Solanales; Solanaceae
Source: Rfam